RNAcentral lists this transfer RNA (74 nucleotides) under Deltaproteobacteria bacterium. RNAcentral's name for it is "tRNA-Met". It matches the Rfam family "tRNA". From Rfam's summary of the family: Transfer RNA (tRNA) molecules are approximately 80 nucleotides in length. Their secondary structure includes four short double-helical elements and three loops (D, anti-codon, and T loops). The record is from RNAcentral. Lineage: Bacteria; Pseudomonadati; Myxococcota; Myxococcia.
CGCUGGGUAGCUCAGGUGGUUAGAGCGAGCGACUCAUAAUCGCUAGGUCGAGGGUUCAAGUCCCUCCCCAGCGA